This 440-nucleotide ribosomal RNA is filed under the name uncultured bacterium. Its description in RNAcentral is "partial 16S ribosomal RNA". It matches the Rfam family "Bacterial small subunit ribosomal RNA", at positions 338 to 795 of the family's 1533-position model. The record is from RNAcentral.
CCUACGGGGGACAGCAGUGGGGAAUAUUGCACAAUGGGGGGAACCCUGAUGCAGCGACGCCGCGUGAGUGAAGAAGUAUUUCGGUAUGUAAAGCUCUAUCAGCAGGGAAGAAGAUGACGGUACCUGACUAAGAAGCCCCGGCUAACUACGUGCCAGCAGCCGCGGUAAUACGUAGGGGGCAAGCGUUAUCCGGAUUUACUGGGUGUAAAGGGAGCGUAGACGGCAGGGCAAGUCUGGAGUGAAAGCCCGGGGCCCAACCCCGGGACUGCUUUGGAAACUGCCAUGCUGGAGUGCUGGAGAGGUAAGCGGAAUUCCUAGUGUAGCGGUGAAAUGCGUAGAUAUUAGGAGGAACACCAGUGGCGAAGGCGGGUUCCUGGACAUUAACUGACGCUGAGGCACGAAGGCCAGGGGAGCGAAAGGGAUUAGAUACCCUUGUAGUC